RNAcentral lists this ribosomal RNA (253 nucleotides) under uncultured bacterium. Its description in RNAcentral is "partial 16S ribosomal RNA". It matches the Rfam family "Bacterial small subunit ribosomal RNA", at positions 524 to 776 of the family's 1533-position model. The record is from RNAcentral.
UACGUAGGGGGCGAGCGUUGUCCGGAUUUAUUGGGCGUAAAGCGCGUGUAGGCGGCUUGGUAGGUCUGCUGUGAAAACUCGGGGCUCAACCCCGAGACGUCGGUGGAAACCACCUGGCUAGAGUCCGGAAGAGGAGAGUGGAAUUCCUGGUGUAGCGGUGAAAUGCGCAGAUAUCAGGAAGAACACCCGUGGCUAAGGCGGCUCUCUAGUACGGUACUGACGCUGAGACGCGAAAGCGUGGGGAGCGAACAGG